This 913-nucleotide ribosomal RNA is filed under the name uncultured archaeon. RNAcentral's name for it is "bacterial SSU rRNA". It matches the Rfam family "Archaeal small subunit ribosomal RNA", at positions 31 to 922 of the family's 1478-position model. The record is from RNAcentral.
UUUAUGGGAGGGAUAGAAUGCUAGUCGAGCGUCUCCAAGCUAUGGAAGAGACGCGGCACACAGCUCAGUAACACGUGGCUAACCUGCCCUUGGGACAAGGACAACCCCGGGAAACUGGGGCUAAUCCCUGAUAGGUGAGAAAUCCUGGAAUGGAUUCUCGCUCAAAAGACGUUUAGACCAUGCUUCUAGGCGUCGCCUAAGGAAGGGGCCGCGGCCGAUCAGGUUGUUGGUGAGGCAACGGCUCACCAAGCCUUUAACCGGUACGGGCCGUGAGAGCGGAAGCCCGGAGACGGGCACUGAGACAAGGGCCCAGGCCCUACGGGGCGCAGCAGUCGCGAAAACUCCGCAAUGCGCGAAAGCGUGACGGGGCUACCCCGAGUGCCGUCCGCUGAGGAUGGCUUUUCCCCGGUGUAAUGAGCCGGGGGAAUAAGGAGAGGGCAAGUCUGGUGUCAGCCGCCGCGGUAAUACCAGCUCUCCGAGUGGUAGGGAUGAUUAUUGGGCUUAAAGCGUCCGUAGCCGGCUUAGCAAGUCUCCUGUUAAAUUCAGCGACCUAAUCGUUGAGCCGCGGGAGAUACUACUAGGCUAGGAGGCGGGAGAGGUCGACGGUAUUCUCGGGGUAGGGGUGAAAUCCUAUAAUCCCGGGAGGACCACCAGUGGCGAAGGCUGUCGGCUAGCACGCGCUCGACGGUGAGGGACGAAAGCUGGGGGAGCAAACCGGAUUAGAUACCCGGGUAGUCCCAGCUGUAAACGAUGCGGGCUAGGUGUUGGGGUGGCUACGAGCCACUUCAGUGCCGCAGGGAAGCCGUUAAGUUUGCCGCCUGGGAAGUACGUACGCAAGUAUGAAACUUAAAGGAAUUGGCGGGGGAGCACCACAAGGGGCGAAGCCUGCGGUUCAAUUGGAGUCAACGCCGGA